This 200-nucleotide ribosomal RNA is filed under the name uncultured bacterium. RNAcentral describes it as "partial 16S ribosomal RNA". It matches the Rfam family "Bacterial small subunit ribosomal RNA", at positions 28 to 258 of the family's 1533-position model. The record is from RNAcentral.
GACGAACGCUGGCGGCAGGCUUAACACAUGCAAGUCGAGCGCCCCGCAAGGGGAGCGGCAGACGGGUGAGUAACGCGUGGGAAUCUACCGUGCCCUAAGGAAUAGCUCCGGGAAACUGGAAUUAAUACCGCAUACGCCCUACGGGGGAAAGAUUUAUCGGGGUAUGAUGAGCCCGCGUUGGAUUAGCUAGUUGGUGGGUA